GACGAACGCUGGCGGCGUGCCUAAUACAUGCAAGUCGAGCGAAGUUUUUCUGGUGCUUGCACUAGAAAAACUUAGCGGCGAACGGGUGAGUAACACGUAAAGAACCUGCCUCAUAGACUGGGACAACCAUUGGAAACGAUAGCCAAUACCGGAUAACAGUAUUUCUCGCAUGACAGAGAUUUAAAAGUUGGUUAUGCUAACACUAUGAGAUGGCUUUGCGGUGCAUUAGCUAGUUGGUGGGGUAAAGGCCCACCAAGGCGACGAUGCAUAGCCGACCUGAGAGGGUGAUCGGCCACACUGGGACUGAGACACGGCCCAGACUCCUACGGGAGGCAGCAGUAGGGAAUCUUCCGCAAUGGGCGAAAGCCUGACGGAGCAACGCCGCGUGAGUGAAGAAGGAUUUCGGUUCGUAAAGCUCUGUUGUUAGGGAAGAAUGGAUAUGUAGUAACUAUACAUGUAAGAGACGGUACCUAACCAGAAAGCCACGGCUAACUACGUG
Molecule: ribosomal RNA, 499 nt
Filed under: uncultured bacterium
Lineage: Bacteria
Description: partial 16S ribosomal RNA
Rfam family: Bacterial small subunit ribosomal RNA
Source: RNAcentral